UGAUCUUUAACGGCCGCGGUACUUUGACCGUGCUAAGGUAGCAUAAUCAGUUGACUUUUGAUUGAAGUCUGGAAUGAAUGGGAGAACGGAAUCAAGCUGUCUCGAUCUCUUUAUUACGAAUUUACUAAUUAAGUGAAAAGGCUUAAACAAGAUAAAAGACGAGAAGACCCUGAGAGUUUUAUUAUUUUUUCGUUGGGGCGACGGAUAAUCAGUGGAACAUUCUUACUUAACAGGACGGUUUUAUCAUGUGUGGAUAAACUACCUCAGGGAUAACAGCAUAAUCUUUUUAGGUUUGUGACCUCGAUGUUGGACUAGGAAGCUUUAUGGCUAGCCGCCUUUAAAGGGGAUUCUGUUCGAA
RNAcentral lists this ribosomal RNA (358 nucleotides) under Bulla occidentalis. RNAcentral's name for it is "partial 16S ribosomal RNA". It matches the Rfam family "Archaeal large subunit ribosomal RNA", at positions 1995 to 2654 of the family's 2987-position model. Lineage: Eukaryota; Metazoa; Mollusca; Gastropoda; Cephalaspidea; Bullidae. The record is from RNAcentral.